CCUACGGGGGGCAGCAGUGAGGAAUAUUGGUCAAUGGACGAGAGUCUGAACCAGCCAAGUAGCGUGAAGGAUGACUGCCCGAUGGGGUGUAAACUUCUUGUAUAAAGGAAUAAAACGAGGCACGUGUGCCUUUUUGCAUGUACUUUAUGAAUAAGGAUCGGCUAACUCCGUGCCAGCAGCCGCGGUAAUACGGAGGAUCCGAGCGUUAUCCGGAUUUAUUGGGUUUAAAGGGAGCGUAGAUUGGUUGUUCAGUCAGUUGUGAAAGUUUGCGGCUCAACCGUUAAAUUGCAAUUGAUACUGGCAGUCUUGAGUACAGUUGAGGUAGUCGGAAUUCGUGUUGUAGCGGU
RNAcentral lists this ribosomal RNA (347 nucleotides) under uncultured bacterium. RNAcentral's name for it is "partial 16S ribosomal RNA". It matches the Rfam family "Bacterial small subunit ribosomal RNA", at positions 338 to 682 of the family's 1533-position model. The record is from RNAcentral.